GACCGCUUAGCUUAGUUGGAAGAGCAUUGGGCUAGUAUUCCAAAGGUCGUAGGUUCGAAUCCCACCGUGGCCG
Paramuricea clavata is the source of this 73-nucleotide non-coding RNA. The record is from the annotation of a GenBank genome assembly. Lineage: Eukaryota; Metazoa; Cnidaria; Anthozoa; Malacalcyonacea; Plexauridae.